UAGGUAAUCUUCCGCAAUGGGCGAAAGCCUGACGGAGCAACGCCGCGUGAGUGAUGAAGGUCUUCGGAUCGUAAAACUCUGUUAUUAGGGAAGAACAAAUGUGUAAGUAACUAUGCACGUCUUGACGGUACCUAAUCAGAAAGCCACGGCUAACUACGUGCCAGCAGCCGCGGUAAUACGUAGGUGGCAAGCGUUAUCCGGAAUUAUUGGGCGUAAAGCGCGCGUAGGCGGUUUUUUAAGUCUGAUGUGAAAGCCCGCGGCUCAACCGUGGAGGGUCAUUGGAAACUGGAAAACUUGAGUGCAGAAGAGGAAAGUGAAAUUCCAUGUGUAGCGGUGAAAUGCGCAGAGAUAUGGAGGAACACCAGUGGCGAAGGCGACUUUCUGGUCUGUAACUGACGCUGAUGUGCGAAAGCGUGGGGAUCAAACAGG
RNAcentral lists this ribosomal RNA (429 nucleotides) under Actinomycetes bacterium. RNAcentral describes it as "Actinobacteria bacterium partial 16S ribosomal RNA". It matches the Rfam family "Bacterial small subunit ribosomal RNA", at positions 355 to 776 of the family's 1533-position model. The record is from RNAcentral. Lineage: Bacteria; Bacillati; Actinomycetota; Actinomycetes.